This 726-nucleotide ribosomal RNA is filed under the name Triticum aestivum (bread wheat). Its description in RNAcentral is "partial small subunit ribosomal RNA". Lineage: Eukaryota; Viridiplantae; Streptophyta; Magnoliopsida; Poales; Poaceae. The record is from RNAcentral.
AUGAAACUGAAUCUUUGUUUGAAAAUUAUGAAGAAUAUGAUGAUGCCAUUUACACCUGAAGAUUUUACUAUAAUUAAAUAUUUCUAUGAGAAUUAUGAAUAUAAUGCCAAUAUUAAUGAGUUUGUUGAGAAAGUCUCCGCUGUCAAAGAAGAGAUUAAUAUUUUGCAGGAAACUAUGGAGGAAGAAAUUGAUGAAACUAUGAGCUCAUUGGAUGAAAAAGAUGAUGAGGAGAGCAAAGAACAAAAGGAGGAAGAGCGGAUUAGCUACCCAUGCCCACCUUAUAAUGAGAGUAGCUCUUCAACUCAUACAUUAUUUAAUUUCUCUUCGUGCUUACCGAAGGAUGAAUGCCAUGAUGAUUGCUAUGAUCAUGUUGAUUCUUUUGAAAUAUCCCUUUUUGAUGAACUUAAUGCUUGCUAUGUUUGUGGCCAAGAUUCCAAUAUGAAUUAUGCUUAUGGAGAUGAACUUGAUAUAGUUCCUUAUGUUAAAAAUGAAAUUGUUGCUAUUGCACCAACACAUGAUAGUCCUAUUAUCUUCUUGAAUUCUCCCAACUACACUAUAUCGGAGAAGUUUGCUCUUGUUAAGGAUUACAUUGAUGGGUUGCCUUUUACCGUUGCACAUGAUAAUUUUGAUGAAUAUAAUAUGCAUGUGCUUGCUCCUCCUACUUGCAAUUAUUAUGAGAGAGGAACCACAUCUCCGCCUCUCUAUGUUUCCAACACGGUAAAAUAG